CAGUGGAGUAUGUGGUUUAAUUCGAAGCAACGCGAAGAACCUUACCAGGUCUUGACAUCCCCCUGAGUCACCUAGAGAUAGGUGCGGCCUUCGGGACAGGGGAGACAGGUGGUGCAUGGUUGUCGUCAGCUCGUGUCGUGAGAUGUUGGGUUAAGUCCCGCAACGAGCGCAACCCUUGAAUUCAGUUGCCAGCACCUCGGGUGGGCACUCUGAAUUGACUGCCGGUGACAAACCGGAGGAAGGCGGGGAUGACGUCAAAUCAUCAUGCCCCUUAUGACCUGGGCUACACACGUACUACAAUGGCCGGUACAACGGGCCGCGAAGCCGCGAGGCGGAGCCAAUCCUUAAAAGCCGGUCUCAGUUCGGAUUGCAGGCUGCAACUCGCCUGCAUGAAGUCGGAAUUGCUAGUAAUCGCGGAUCAGCAUGCCGCGGUGAAUACGUUCCCGGGUCUUGUACACACCGCCCGUCACACCACGAGAGUUUACAACACCCGAAGUCGGUGGGGUAACCCGCAAGGGAGCCAGCCGCCGAAGGUGGGGUAGAUGAUUGGGGUGAAGUCGUAACAAGGUAACCGU
This 575-nucleotide ribosomal RNA is filed under the name uncultured Paenibacillus sp. RNAcentral's name for it is "bacterial SSU rRNA". It matches the Rfam family "Bacterial small subunit ribosomal RNA", at positions 930 to 1503 of the family's 1533-position model. Lineage: Bacteria; Bacillati; Bacillota; Bacilli; Caryophanales; Paenibacillaceae. The record is from RNAcentral.